Molecule: small nuclear RNA, 107 nt
Organism: Nannospalax galili (Upper Galilee mountains blind mole rat)
Lineage: Eukaryota; Metazoa; Chordata; Mammalia; Rodentia; Spalacidae
Source: Ensembl
GUGCCUCGCUUCAGCAGCACAUAUACUAAAAUUGGAAUGAUACAGAGAAGAUUAGCAUGGCCCCUGUGCUGUACAAUAAAUGUAUUUAACACCAAUAAAAAAAUAAU